UUUAAGGUGAAGGGCUCUUGAGAGAAAGCCACAUCUAGAGAAAUUGGUUAAAAAUUUGAAUGGAUAAGAGGAGUGAGGGCUUUGAGUAUUAGAAGUUUGUUCAUUCUUCACAAGGCACUUCCUGGUAAAUGGUGUUGGAGAUUCACAAUUGACAAUGAACCCUUUGGAAGCGGUUAUUACAAGGAAGUAUGGGUAGGAAGAGGGGGAAUUGUGCUCUAGUAGAGUGAGGGAAGGGUAAGGGGUGAGUGCGUAGAAGGCAAUUAGGAG
Molecule: long non-coding RNA, 267 nt
Filed under: Vitis vinifera (wine grape)
Lineage: Eukaryota; Viridiplantae; Streptophyta; Magnoliopsida; Vitales; Vitaceae
Description: long non-coding RNA (VVIN_LNC007634)
Source: RNAcentral